UGUGUUUCUUCAUGUCUGACUUCUGGUGGAAUCUCUUCCCGCAGUACUGGCAGGGGUAAGGCCGGGUGUCCGAGUGGAUGAGGAGGUGUGUGGACAGGGUGGACGAGCGCUUGAACACUUUUCCGCAAACCUUGCAGCCAAAGCUGCCAACCGCUCUGAAGCCAAAGCCCAUGUGAGGCAUGUCUGUGGCUGUGGGUGAUAAAGUCAGUGGGACAGACAGGGCGUUGUAGACAUGAGGCUGCAGACCACCUCUUGAUAGCUGCACUUCUGAAAGAGACUGAGAGCAAAAGUUGGAGGACAUUUUACUCAUCAAAUUCCAAAUAAUCCAUGUACAAAACACUAAAACAUGCAGUUGUUAUGUACGUUUACUUUUCCUGAGACUAACAAUAAAAAAACUCGAAGAAAAUAAUGUUUGAAAAUGUGUUUGAAAUACCAAAUAAAUCUGGAGUUCCCCCUAAAAUGCCAUUUUCUCUUGUCCCAAACCAAAAAUGACCAAAUUGAAUCUCAAAUAAAACUGUUAAAAUGAAACCUUAA
This is a long non-coding RNA of Acanthochromis polyacanthus (spiny chromis), 534 nucleotides long. RefSeq lists it as uncharacterized. The record is from RefSeq and is a predicted model, not a curated record. NCBI's taxonomy places the organism in Eukaryota, Metazoa, Chordata, Actinopteri, Pomacentridae. The transcript has 2 exons.